RNAcentral lists this ribosomal RNA (460 nucleotides) under uncultured bacterium. Its description in RNAcentral is "partial 16S ribosomal RNA". It matches the Rfam family "Bacterial small subunit ribosomal RNA", at positions 338 to 795 of the family's 1533-position model. The record is from RNAcentral.
CCUACGUGUGGCAGCAGUGAGGAAUAUUGGUCAAUGGGCGCGAGCCUGAACCAGCCAAGUCGCGUGAGGGAAGACGGCCCUACGGGUUGUAAACCUCUUUUGCCGGGGAGCAACGGGCGCCACGUGUGGCGCCACUGAGAGUACCCGGAGAAAAAGCAGCGGCUAACUCCGUGCCAGCAGCCGCGGUAAUACGGAGGAUGCGAGCGUUAUCCGGAUUGAUGGGGUUUAAAGGGGGCGUAGGCGGAGCGUUAAGUCAGUGGUCAAAUUGAGGGGCUCAACCCCUUCCCGCCAUUGAAACUGGCGCUCUUGAGUGGACGAGAAGUAUGCGGACUGCGUGGUGUAGCGGUGAAAUGCAUAGAUCUCACGCAGAACCCCGAUUGCGAAGGCAGCAUGCCGGCUUCCGACUGACGCUGACGCACGACAGCGUGGGGAUCGAACAGGAUUAGAUACCCCAGUAGUC